UACGGGGGGGGCAAGCGUUGUUCGGAAUUACUGGGCGUAAAGGGCGCGUAGGCGGUGCUCUAAGUCGGAUGUGAAAACUCUGGGCUCAACCCAGAGCCUGCAUCCGAAACUGGAGUGCUAGAGUUCUGGAGGGGGUAGCGGAAUUCCUGGUGUAGCGGUGAAAUGCGUAGAUAUCAGGAGGAACACCGGUGGCGAAGGCGACUUCCUGGCCUGUUCUUGACGCUGAGGCGCGAAAGCUAGGGGAGCAAACGGG
This 253-nucleotide ribosomal RNA is filed under the name uncultured bacterium. Its description in RNAcentral is "partial 16S ribosomal RNA". It matches the Rfam family "Bacterial small subunit ribosomal RNA", at positions 524 to 776 of the family's 1533-position model. The record is from RNAcentral.